GGGGAAUUUUGGACAAUGGGGGGAACCCUGAUCCAGCCAUGCCGCGUGUAUGAAGAAGGCCUUCGGGUUGUAAAGUACUUUUGUUAGGGAAGAAAAGCUUGCUGCUAAUAUCAGUGAGUGCUGACGGUACCUAAAGAAUAAGCACCGGCUAACUACGUGCCAGCAGCCGCGGUAAUACGUAGGGUGCAAGCGUUAAUCGGAAUUACUGGGCGUAAAGCGAGCGCAGGCGGUUAUUUAAGUCAGGUGUGAAAUCCCCGAGCUCAACUUGGGAAUUGCGCUUGAAACUGGGUAACUAGAGUGUGUCAGAGGGGGGUAGAAUUCCACGUGUAGCAGUGAAAUGCGUAGAGAUGUGGAGGAAUACCGAUGGCGAAGGCAGCCCCCUGGGAUAACACUGACGCUCAUGCUCGAAAGCGUGGGUAGCAAAC
RNAcentral lists this ribosomal RNA (425 nucleotides) under uncultured bacterium. RNAcentral describes it as "bacterial SSU rRNA". It matches the Rfam family "Bacterial small subunit ribosomal RNA", at positions 356 to 773 of the family's 1533-position model. The record is from RNAcentral.